AUGCGUGCCUUAUUCUGGAACAUCCGCGGGUUCGGCCAUGACGGCCGACGCCGCCAGCUCAUCGAGUACGUGCGCGAUGAGCAUAUUGACAUAGUGGCGAUCCAGGAAACCAUGCGCUCCGACUUCUCAUUGCCAAAGCUUGACCGGCUGAGCACCCACCUCUUUGCGUGGCACUGGCUCCCUUCUAGUGGGAACACCGGCCAUUCGGGUGGCAUCCUUCUAGGUGUGAAGGAUGCCACCUUCGAGGUGGGGAGUAUGGACCGGGGCCAGUUCUUUGUUAGUAUGGAGCUCUAUGAACGAGCCCUGAACUUCAAAUGGGAGGUUAUCAUCGUCUAUGGCCCGGCUGACCACAGUAGAUCCGCGUCCUUCCUCGAGGAGCUUAUCCGGAAGGUCUCUGCGGCCUCCCUGCCGGUGGUUGUCGGAGGCAAUUUUAACCUCCGCCGAUUCGCGGAAGACAAGAGCAAUGUGUUGGAAAUAUGCCCUAGAGGCAAUAAUAAAUGGUUAUUAUUAUAUUUCUUUGUUCAUGAUAAUUGUCUAUUAUUCAUGCUAUAA
RNAcentral lists this ribosomal RNA (552 nucleotides) under Triticum aestivum (bread wheat). Its description in RNAcentral is "partial small subunit ribosomal RNA". The record is from RNAcentral. Lineage: Eukaryota; Viridiplantae; Streptophyta; Magnoliopsida; Poales; Poaceae.